AUUGAACGCUGGCGGCAGGCCUAACACAUGCAAGUCGAACGGUAACAGGAAACAUCUUGCUGUUUCGCUGACGAGUUUCUGACGGGUGAGUAAUGUCUGUGAAACUUCCUGAUGGAUUGGGAUAACUACUGGAAACGGUAUCUAAUACCGCAUAACGUCGCAAGACCAAAGAGGUGUACCUUCUGGCCUCUUUCCAUCGGAUGUUCCCAGAUGGGAUUAUCUAGUAGGUGGGGUAACGGCUCACCUAGGCGACGAUCCCUAGCUGGUCUGAGAGGAUGACCAGCCAGACUGGAAAUGAGACACGGUCCAGAAUAAUACGGGAGGCAGCAGUGGGGAAUAUUGCACAAUGGGGGAAAGGCUGAUGAAGAAAUGCCGCGUGUAUGAAGAAGGAAUGCGGGUUGUAAAGUACUUUAAGCGGGGAUGAAGGGGGUAAAGUUAAUACCUUUGCUGAUUGACGUUACCAGAAGAAGAAGCACCGGCUAAAUACGUG
This 490-nucleotide ribosomal RNA is filed under the name uncultured bacterium. RNAcentral describes it as "partial 16S ribosomal RNA". It matches the Rfam family "Bacterial small subunit ribosomal RNA", at positions 30 to 507 of the family's 1533-position model. The record is from RNAcentral.